AUGGAUAAUGCACUUUUUAAAACUUCUGGAACCAGCUCCCUCAUCUAUUCGAGAGUGGAGCUGCUGGCACUAAGAACAAAGGGACAGACCGGCAUGCGACACAACAUCCCGGCUGAGAUAAAGAGGAGCUACAGAGGCUGCAAGGCUGGAGCGAGGAAAGCGGAUCACCGGAGGCGAUUCAAACCAUCAAUCCCGACAGUGAUAAUGGGCAACGUGAACUCGUUACAGAAUAAGAUUGAUGAACUGACUGCUCUGAACAGCCACCGACUAUACCGUGAGUGCAGUCUGUUUAUCUUCACGGAGACGUGGCUAACCAAGCUAACGCCACAGGCUAACGUAGACCUAUGCGGUUUCACAUCCGUGAGAGCCGAUAGGGACACGCAGGCCAGCGGGAAAAGCAGAGGUGGGGGACUCAUUGUCUACGUUAACAACAGAUACUACAACCCUGGACACGUCUCCGUUAAAGCUUCGGUAUGCCGUCCGGACCUGGAGCUGCUAGCUGUUAGCUUGCGGCCAUAUUAUCUACCUCGGGAGUUCAGUCAUGUGAUCUGUGUGUGUGUUUACAUCCCUCCAAGGGCCGACGCAGCAGCUGCCUGUGAGAAAAUACACACAGUCACAGCAAGACUUCAGACACAAAACCCAGAGGCUUUCAUUAUUAUAUCUGGAGACUUUAAUCAUGCCACACUGGAUUCUACUCUGGCUGCUUUUCACCAGUUUGUGAAUUGUCCCACAAGGAGCAACAGGACAAUUGACCUACUGUAUGCUAAUGUGAGAGAUGCAUACAGAGCCAACCCCCUCCCCCCACUAGGGAAGUCAGACCACAACCUGGUUUAUCUACAGCCACAAUACACACCCCUCGUCCAAAGGCAGCCUGUCACAACACGCUCCAUCAGAAAAUGGACCCCAGAAAAGGAGGAUGCUCUGAGAGACUGCUAUGACACCACAGACUGGGAUGUGCUUCUGAGCCCACAUGGUGAGGACAUAGAGUGGGCGACACACUGUCUGACAGACUACCUCAACUUUUGUGUGGACACGGUCGCCCCUGCUAAGACGGUACGGUGUUAUCCUAAUAACAAACCGUGGGUAACACAGGAAGUCAAAGCUGUCCUCAACAUGAAGAAGAAGGCUUUCAGGAGCAAAGUGAAGGAGGAGAUGAAAGCAGCACAGCGGGAGGUGAAACGCUGCCUGAGAGAAGCAAAGGACACCUACAGGAGGAAGGUGGAGCAGAAGUUGGAGAGGAACAAUAUGAGGGAGGUCUGGAAUGGUGUGAAAACCAUCACAGGCCACAACACCAAGAACAGCACAGUGGGGGGGACUGUGGAGAAGGCAAACGAACUCAACAACUUCUUCAACAGGUUUGACCAGCCCACAACCCCCCCACCCUCACCCUCACCCUCACCUUUACUACAGAGCCCUCUCCCCACUCUCCUACCUCCCUCGCUUCCCCCCCUUCCCGACACUAUGACAUCCCCCUUUUCCAAUCCCUCUCUCAGCAGCAAGACAUCUUCUUCCCCCCCUUCCUCCCAAUCAUCUCCCUGUGUCACAGUGGAUCAGUUCAGGAGACAACUGAGGAAGCUUCGCCCCAGAAAGGCAGCAGGCCCAGACAAGGUGCGUCCCAGGAUGCUAAAGGCGUGUGCUGCUGAACUUGGGGAGCCGCUACAACGAGUCUUCAAUCUCAGUCUGCGACUGGGGAGAGUGCCCGCCCUCUGGAAGACAUCCUGCAUCGCCCCGGUCCCCAAAAAAGAACCGGCCCAAUGA
This is a long non-coding RNA of Oreochromis niloticus (Nile tilapia), 1758 nucleotides long. The record is from Ensembl. Lineage: Eukaryota; Metazoa; Chordata; Actinopteri; Cichliformes; Cichlidae.